RNAcentral lists this ribosomal RNA (301 nucleotides) under uncultured bacterium. RNAcentral's name for it is "partial 16S ribosomal RNA". It matches the Rfam family "Bacterial small subunit ribosomal RNA", at positions 509 to 807 of the family's 1533-position model. The record is from RNAcentral.
CAGUCGCCGCGGGAAUACGAAGGGUGCAAGCGUUAAUCGGAAUUACUGGGCGUAAAGCGUGCGUAGGCGGUUUGUUAAGUCUGUUGUGAAAUCCCCGGGCUCAACCUGGGAAUGGCAAUGGAUACUGGCUCGCUAGAGUGUGUCAGAGGAUGGUGGAAUUCCCGGUGUAGCGGUGAAAUGCGUAGAGAUCGGGAGGAACAUCAGUGGCGAAGGCGGCCAUCUGGGACAACACUGACGCUGAGGCACGAAAGCGUGGGGAGCAAACAGGAUUAGAUACCCCGGUAGUCCCUGUCUCUUAUAC